This is a long non-coding RNA of Drosophila navojoa, 109 nucleotides long. The record is from RefSeq and is a predicted model, not a curated record. NCBI's taxonomy places the organism in Eukaryota, Metazoa, Arthropoda, Insecta, Diptera, Drosophilidae.
GAUUUUCUCGCACUUUUUAUUUUCAAUAUUUGUCGUAAGUAAAUUUAGUUGAUACCAAAUCGUUGAUGAAAAUUAAAUUUUAAUUUUUUUUAAAUAAUUGAGAUUGAAA